GCUUAACCGGAGAAGUGCAUCGGAAACUGGGAGACUUGAGUGCAGAAGAGGACAGUGGAACUCCAUGUGUAGCGGUGGAAUGCGUAGAUAUAUGGAAGAACACCAGUGGCGAAGGCGGCUGUCUAGUCUGUAACUGACGCUGAGGCUCGAAAGCAUGGGUAGCGAACAGGAUUAGAUACCCUGGUAGUCCAUGCCGUAAACGAUGAGUGCUAAGUGUUGGAGGGUUUCCGCCCUUCAGUGCUGCAGCUAACGCAUUAAGCACUCCGCCUGGGGAGUACGACCGCAAGGUUGAAACUCAAAGGAAUUGACGGGGGCCCGCACAAGCGGUGGAGCAUGUGGUUUAAUUCGAAGCUACGCGAAGAACCUUACCAGGUCUUGACAUCUUCUGCCAAUCUUAGAGAUAAGACGUUCCCUUCGGGGACAGAAUGACAGGUGGUGCAUGGUUGUCGUCAGCUCGUGUCGUGAGAUGUUGGGUUAAGUCCCGCAACGAGCGCAACCCUUAUUAUCAGUUGCCAGCUUUCAGUUGGGCACUCUGGUGAGACUGCCGGUGACAAACCGGAGGAAGGUGGGGAUGACGUCAAAUCAUCAUGCCCCUUAUGACCUGGGCUACACACGUGCUACAAUGGACGGUACAACG
Molecule: ribosomal RNA, 637 nt
Filed under: uncultured bacterium
Lineage: Bacteria
Description: bacterial SSU rRNA
Rfam family: Bacterial small subunit ribosomal RNA
Source: RNAcentral